GAUUGACCUCGGAUCAGGUAGGGAUACCCGCUGAACUUAAGCAUAUCAAUAAGCGGAGGAAAAGAAACCAACAGGGAUUGCCUCAGUAACGGCGAGUGAAGCGGCAACAGCUCAAAUUUGAAAUCUGGCUCCUUCGGGGCCCGAGUUGUAAUUUGCAGAGGACGUUUCGGGUGCGGCCCGGUCUAAGUCCCUUGGAACAGGGCGUCAUAGAGGGUGAGAAUCCCGUAUGUGACCGGUGACCAACCCCAUGUGAAACCCCUUCGACGAGUCGAGUUGUUUGGGAAUGCAGCUCAAAAUGGGUGGUAAAUUCCAUCUAAAGCUAAAUACUGGCCAGAGACCGAUAGCGCACAAGUAGAGUGAUCGAAAGAUGAAAAGCACUUUGGAAAGAGAGUCAAACAGUACGUGAAAUUGUUGAAAGGGAAGCGCUGGCAACCAGACCUGCCCCGGGCGAUCAGCGGGUGUUCUCACCCGUGCACUCGCCCGCGAUCAGGCCAGCAUCGGUUUCGGCGGUCGGAUACAGACCCGGGGAACGUGGCUCUCUUCGGGGAGUGUUAUAGCCCCGGGUGCAAUGCGGCCAGCCGGGACCGAGGACCGCGCUUCGGCUAGGAUGCUGGCGUAAUGGUUGUCAGCGACCGU
RNAcentral lists this ribosomal RNA (636 nucleotides) under Sphaerophorus globosus. RNAcentral describes it as "LSU rRNA". It matches the Rfam family "Eukaryotic large subunit ribosomal RNA", at positions 1 to 652 of the family's 3401-position model. Lineage: Eukaryota; Fungi; Ascomycota; Lecanoromycetes; Lecanorales; Sphaerophoraceae. The record is from RNAcentral.